AGCAGCCGCGGUAAUUCCAGCUCCAAUAGCGUAUAUUAAAGUUGUUGCAGUUAAAAAGCUCGUAGUUGAAUUUCGGGACCAAUAUGUCGGUCGUGCUUCGGUACGUACUUGCAUUAUUGGUUUCUCCCUUCUGAGGAACCAUGAUGUCAUUAAUUUGGUGUCGUGGGAAAUCAGAACUGUUACUUUGAAAAAAUUAGAGUGUUUAAAGCAGGCUCGCGCUUGAAUACAUUAGCAUGGAAUAAUGAAAUAGGACGUUUGAUUCUAUUUUGUUGGUUUCUAGGAUCGACGUAAUGAUUAAUAGGGAUAGUUGGGGGCAUUAGUAUUCAAUUGUCAGAGGUGAAAUUCUUGGAUUUAUUGAAGACUAACUACUGCGAAAGCAUUUGCCAAGGAUGUUUUCAUUAAUCAAGAACGAAAGUUAGGGGAUCGAAGACGAUCAGAUACCGUCGUAGUCUUUAAACCAUAAACUAUGCCGACUAGGGAUCGGAUGAUGUUAUUUUUGAUUGAUCAUUCGCGUACCG
RNAcentral lists this ribosomal RNA (518 nucleotides) under uncultured fungus. Its description in RNAcentral is "SSU rRNA". It matches the Rfam family "Eukaryotic small subunit ribosomal RNA", at positions 569 to 1088 of the family's 1831-position model. The record is from RNAcentral. Lineage: Eukaryota; Fungi.